UGAGGGCAGCGCGCAGAGCUUCCCUAGCUGCCCAUGUGCCUAGGGACCGCAGAGACAUGCUGGCCGCUUUCAGGAGCUGGCUGAGCAGCUGCUGUAGUG
This is a long non-coding RNA of Gopherus evgoodei (Goodes thornscrub tortoise), 99 nucleotides long. RefSeq lists it as uncharacterized. The record is from RefSeq and is a predicted model, not a curated record. The transcript has 3 exons. NCBI's taxonomy places the organism in Eukaryota, Metazoa, Chordata, Testudines, Testudinidae.